GGGCGAAGCCUUGAUCCGCCUUGCCGCGUGUCUGAAGAAGGCCUUCGGGUCGUAAAGGACUUUUGUCCGGGAGCAAAUCCCAGUGGUUAAUACCUACUGGGGCUGAGAGUACCGGAAGAAUAAGCACCGGCUAACUACGUGCCAGCAGCCGCGGUAAUACGUAGGGUGCAAGCGUUAAUCGGAAUUACUGGGCGUAAAGCGUGCGCAGGCGGUUGUGCAAGUCUGAUGUGAAAGCCCCGGGCUUAACCUGGGAACGGCAUUGGAGACUGCACGACUAGAGUGCGUCAGAGGGGGGUAGAAUUCCGCGUGUAGCAGUGAAAUGCGUAGAGAUGCGGAGGAAUACCGAUGGCGAAGGCAGCCCCCUGGGAUGACACUGACGCUCAUGCACGAAAGCGUGGGGAGCAAACAGGAUUAGAUACCCUGGUAGUCCACGCCCUAAACGAUGUCAACUAGCUGUUGGGGGUUUGAAUCCUUGGUAGCGUAGCUAACGCGAGAAGUUGACCGCCUGGGGAGUACGGCCGCAAGGUUAAAACUCAAAGGAUUUGAACGGA
This 551-nucleotide ribosomal RNA is filed under the name Chromobacterium sp. RNAcentral's name for it is "bacterial SSU rRNA". It matches the Rfam family "Bacterial small subunit ribosomal RNA", at positions 373 to 918 of the family's 1533-position model. Lineage: Bacteria; Pseudomonadati; Pseudomonadota; Betaproteobacteria; Neisseriales; Chromobacteriaceae. The record is from RNAcentral.